GCCUCCUUUUGGAAAAACGUCAAUGGCAAUCGUGGAGGCAGCGAGGAGAGAACGAAAAUGGCUUGUAUGAAAUUAGCAAAUUAUGUUUUACAGGGGUGGGCCCGCCACACUUGUAAAGUGCUAAACAAAUUAAGUUAAUUGUGAAAUACAUUUUAUAUAUAAUCAAAGGAGAAUAUAGAUUUUAAAUGUGCGCAUGCUUUUCUCCGACAAUAGCCUACGUCUGAUACAAAGGGGGUGUGGCAGAUAUCAAAACUCUUCCGCAGUAGGAUUCACUUGUCUACCUUGCCAAAAGGUGGCUAUCGAGUAAGGGAGGACCAUCUUCCGUUUGUCUACUAAGGAAUUGACACACUCCUCGACCACUUGACACAGAGAGAGAGCGAGCGAUUGAGGACUCAUCAUGGCUAUAACCCGUUUUAGAAAAAGGGGUGCGCGCUUCUGGAGUAACCGCGGGUGUGUGGCCGUACCAGAGAGGAAGAGGCGAUGUGAGAGUGUUUACUCCGUCCAAAAUCUGUCCAGGAAGGUCUGAUCAUCUGAAGAAGCGGGCCACAAUGCUGUUGAUGUUGGUCUUCUGGAGGCGAAGGUGGUCUGUUCUGCAACUUGUCCACCUCUUGGUAGAUCUUCAGAGCUCCGUGAGCAUCAUAGGGCUUCAGGUAACGCUUGAAGAAGUCCAGGUUGGUGGGACUUUUCAUCUUCCCUAAAUACCUUGGUCUCAUGGAUGAUCUUUGGGCAAAGCUGUGGUCCUUCUUAACCGGACUACUGGUGGAUGUCACCACUGGCUUCUCUAAAGGACACAUUUUUACAGUAUGCCAUCUUGGGGUACUUCGAAGCCAUGGUUUGAAAUGGAAGGUCGUACAGAUCUGAGGAGAAGAUCCAUAAUUACAACUUUCUGUCGUAUCCUUGCAUUAUUCGGUACAACUUUUGUCCGUAGAGUACUUCUACUACAACCAAAUGGCAUUAAUUAUGUUCUUACUGGUAUUCCUGUAGUGCAGGUGGAUUAAGCCUUCCAUCCUGACGUCCUCUAAGGGCAGCAAGGCUCAGGUCUCCUCAGUGAGAGGCUCAGUACAGGCCUGCCAGUGAGCCAGAGCCUCCCUCGUCCUCCUCACCUCCUGCUCUGGAGCAGUGGGAGCACUAGAGGGCGCUGUCACUCCGCGACUCACUUUCCCCGUGACCUCAUUCUGAGUGAACUGAGAGAAAUCAAUAGAGGAGUAGAACUACAGGAGGAUCUGGCGUAGCUGUUUCCAAAUUCCUCUAUUCUAAAAAUAAGAUUAGAAGUUAGUUUGUCUUUAUCCAGAAAGGGAUAACCUUGUACUGACACUGAAUACAUGAGUUUGUAAUCAAGGGGUGAAGAAAAAGUAUAGAAAAUACAUGACUGUCCAUGUUAUCACUUUGCGGUCAAGCACAUACUGCAGUCAAAGGUUUAACACUCACCUGGUAUCAUUUCUGCUUGGCCAUGUAAAUCCAGGGCAUCAUAUUUCCAGAGGGGAGGUGGCAGAUUGUGGUCUCCAUACAGGCAUGAGAGGGAAUUAUGGGAUCACUGCUCCUGCUGUCCAGGCUGGGCAGGCUCUUGGAUGGGCGGAUGGGCAGGACUGGGAGGGGGCCGGUGCUGGACCCAAAGGUAACAGAACUCAACUUUUUGAGGAGAGGAGUACUGGUACUUAUCUUUGAGCUCCCACUUCCUCCCUCUUGCCACUAGGCUAACCCCUGUAUGCAUCCCAAAUGGCACCCUAUUCAAAGUACUACUUUUGACCAAGGUCUUUGGUCAACAGUUGUGCACAAUAAAGGGAUAAGGUGCCAUGUGGGACGCAGACCCUCCUGCGUUACCAGCGGGGAUGCAACAGGUGGUCAUGAUGCUGGAGCCCUCUGUGAGGUGGACAGUCCUGAUGACAGUGAGCAGGGCCUGGUAGCGGUUCCUCUGAGUCUCAUCCUGCUGCCAGUCUAUCUGGAGCACUGCACUCUCACAGUGAAUGUCACCCGCUCCUCUUCUUCAGGUACACGAGACACACACACCCACCCACGCAGGCAUGCACGCACGCACACACAAAGGGCUACUCCCACAUACAUUUCUGUAACUUAUCUCAGGGGUAUAUUUUUUUCUUUUUUUAUAGCUUUGGUACUAUUUUUGCAAGUAUGUGGUGAAUUUUCAAAACUCUUACUAUAAAACACCAAACUGGUAACACUUGUAAGGCAGCCAGUUUUACAUUCAAAACCGUUUAUUCUGCAUUCAUUUUGAAUGUUUACUGUGAAAUAUAAUAAGCACAUUGGUUUAAUCACCAAAACACAACAUAAUGAUAUCGUCUCAAUUGAGUUAUUUUAACAACUAAUUAUUCCAAUAGCAAAAAAUGUAAGAUACAUGUUUAAAAUUUCCCAUGUUUAAAAAUUUCCCAAGUUUAAAAAUUUUACAGUGUCGUAGUAUGCUACAACACUGUAAAUUACAGUACAUUACACUGUUUUCACAUUAGACAAUACAUUUUCACUACCCAUUAAAAUUGACUGAACAUCACAUUUCCAUAAUUUGAUCCCAUGUGUGAUCAUUGAAGACAUAUUUCACAAUUUAAAGAAAUUAAAGAAACAAUGUUUAGCAGGAGCUAGUUUGCAACAAGCCUGUCUUGAGCAUUUGGCCUAAGGUUCUCAUCGAAAUCAUGGUAAAUAUUCUAAUUGUUCAUGUUCCUGGGGAAAUCCUUUUGAGUUUUGUACUAAGAGUUGUGAAAAUGUACCACAUACUUGUGAAAAUUGCACCAAAGUGAUUAAAAACUGUAUGAACACAAAUUUAUACUUUUCAAGGCCGUAAAAGAUUGUGAAGGAGUUUCUAAAACCUAAAUCAUCUGAGACAAUAAAAAUACAUACCAUGAGUGCCUUUGACAAAAGAGCAGAAGCGCCUCAUCCCUCUCACACUGCCCAGGCAUCUCUUCAGCAGCCACUGGUCCGCAAAUGUCCAUUUCACUUCAUCUGACAAGGGAAAAACACAAUGGACAGGUGGGAAGACAAAAUACACUGAACAAAAAUAUAAAUGCAACAUGUAAAGUGUUGGUCCAAUACUUCAUGAGCUAACAUAAAAGAUCACAGAAAUUGUCCAUAUGGAAAAAGCUUAUUUCUUUCAAAUUUUGUGCACAAAUGUGUUUA
Molecule: non-coding RNA, 3120 nt
Organism: Salmo salar (Atlantic salmon)
Lineage: Eukaryota; Metazoa; Chordata; Actinopteri; Salmoniformes; Salmonidae
Source: RefSeq, a predicted model, not a curated record